CAGUAUGGUCAUUACCGAGUUUCACUCCCAACCCCUGUGAACAUACCUAUACGUUGCCUCGGCGGAUCAGCCCGCGCCCCGUAAAACGGGACGGCCCGCCCGAGGACCCCUAAACUCUGUUUUUAGUGGAACUUCUGAGUAAAACAAACAAAUAAAUCAAAACUUUCAACAACGGAUCUCUUGGUUCUGGCAUCGAUGAAGAACGCAGCAAAAUGCGAUAAGUAAUGUGAAUUGCAGAAUUCAGUGAAUCAUCGAAUCUUUGAACGCACAUUGCGCCCGCCAGUAUUCUGGCGGGCAUGCCUGUUCGAGCGUCAUUUCAACCCUCAAGCUCAGCUUGGUGUUGGGACUCGCGGUAACCCGCGUUCCCCAAAUCGAUUGGCGGUCACGUCGAGCUUCCAUAGCGUAGUAAUCAUACACCUCGUUACUGGUAAUCGUCGCGGCCACGCCGUAAACCCCAACUUCUGAAUGUUGACCUCGGAUCAAGUAGGGAUGACAGCUGAACUUAAGCAUAUCAUAAAGCCGGAGGAA
RNAcentral lists this ribosomal RNA (528 nucleotides) under Fusarium sp. F7 NEIST-DRL. RNAcentral describes it as "eukaryotic LSU rRNA". The stretch from base 161 to 314 matches the Rfam family "5.8S ribosomal RNA". Lineage: Eukaryota; Fungi; Ascomycota; Sordariomycetes; Hypocreales; Nectriaceae. The record is from RNAcentral.